Long non-coding RNA from Macrobrachium nipponense, 853 nucleotides. RefSeq lists it as uncharacterized. The record is from RefSeq and is a predicted model, not a curated record. NCBI's taxonomy places the organism in Eukaryota, Metazoa, Arthropoda, Malacostraca, Decapoda, Palaemonidae. The transcript has 4 exons.
CACAUCAAGGGCGCUUGGAUUCCUCAUUUAAGUUUAAAUUUUGGUCUGUGAAAAAGCUAGCCUCCGCCAAACACGCGCAUAAACAGUUAAUUGCAUAUCACUAACUGAAAUCAAAGGUAUAUUACCCGUUAUAUAACUUUUUUUACCAAAAUGUCACUACCCGAUGUCUUCAACUCCAUCGGACAACCGGCAUCACCCACUUGACGUGAAGUUGUCGUCAGGAUAAAUUCCAUCACAGACCACGUUUAGGAAUAAAUGAACACUGAAAACCCAGACAGAUCACGACGCAAGUACGCUGGAAUGAGGCACGCUGCGAAAUGAAAUCUGUAAUGUGUAGACGAAUGAGGUGGAACGCCAUGACUACCAAGGAAGGUUUGAACAAGCGGUUCUGACAGCUAAUGAAGUCACCUAUUAUACCGCAACUCCGGAUAUUCCUGAGUCUUCAUAAUUUCUGCCAGAUUCGAGAUCUUUUGAGGAACACGCUGUGUGACGUCACAAGACAGCAACUAAGUACUACCUUCCCCUCCUUUCCCCGUAUACCCAUACUCCAAUGAUACAGGGUACAGAGCCUAAAAGAAGAAGAAGAAGAAAAAAGGAUGGUUGUCUUUCUGCAAGCCUCUGUUCUCAAGAUAUCUUGAACAAAGAGAAGAUGAACAAAGAUAAAGAGAGAACAUUGCCAUAAAGGGAAUAAAAUCUACAACAAAAUGCGGCGAGAAAUAAUAAUGGCAUCGGCAUGCCUUGUGCCCACCCCCGCCUCGUCUAGGUCAAAAGGAGGAUUCCUGUCCGAAGGGGGUCAGGGAAUCCUACGGUAGGAAUGGGGUGAGGGGUGGCUGGAGGAACGGGGAACGGGGGA